UUUGUCCUACGGAGGGCAGCAGUAGGGAAUUUUCGUCAAUGGGCGCAAGCCUGAACGAGCGAUGCCGCGUGAGUGAAGAAGGCCUUCGGGUCGUAAAGCUCUGUUGCGGGGGAAAAAAGGCAGCAUCAGGAAAUGGGUGCUGACUGAUGGUGCCCCGCCAGAAAGUCACGGCUAACUACGUGCCAGCAGCCGCGGUAAUACGUAGGUGGCAAGCGUUAUCCGGAUUUACUGGGUGUAAAGGGCGUGUAGGCGGGAGUGCAAGUCAGAUGUGAAAACUAUGGGCUCAACCCAUAGCCUGCAUUUGG
Molecule: ribosomal RNA, 305 nt
Filed under: uncultured bacterium
Lineage: Bacteria
Description: bacterial SSU rRNA
Rfam family: Bacterial small subunit ribosomal RNA
Source: RNAcentral